CAGCUUCCUGCUCUCCUGGCCAUCUGAUUGGACGAGCCUGACGCUGCUCAGGUUGAUGGACAGCACUGUGGACUUAUGGGUAUCUACCUCCUUCUGUAGGUCCUGAGAUACAGAGCAGCAGAAAUAUUGAAGUACGGCUCUCUGCAGCGGGUCUGUUGAAGUGUAAAGCAGGUCACUGAGGUCAGGGUGUGUGUAUUUGGGUCAGUGUGCUUCUGUUUUUAGACGAGUUAGACUCACACUAAAUAUCUUUCAUACCAUAGACAUGUGAUCAUCACACACACACACACACACACACACACAAUCAUAUUACAAACACAAUGUUACUUAUAAUAGCUUCUGUAAAGCAUACUGUAUGUACUGUGAGCAAUCACACACACCAACGUUUACAUUUCUGGCAUUUGGGAGACGUCCUUAUCCAGAGUGACUUACAAUUUAUUUCAUUUUUUGUAGAACUGAGUAAUUAAGGGCUAAGGGUUAAGGGCCUUGCUCAGGGGCCCAGCAGUUAAGGGCUGAGGGCCUUGUUGAGGGGCCCAGCAGUAGCUGCUUGACCUGGGUUUGACCUGGGAUUCAAACUCACAACCUUCUGAUCAGUUAUCCAACACCUUAACCACUAAGCUACCACAUCCCCACCCACACCCCAACACACACACACACCCCAACACAGUCCCCCAUACACACCAACACACACUCUAUCAUAUUACAAACACACUGUUACAGUUUCUAUAAUAGCUUCUGUAAAUCUUAUGUACUGUGAGCAAUUACACACACACCCCAACACACCCAUACCCCAACACACACACAUCCUAACACACCCCCACCUUGAGUUUUCUGAUCCUUUGGUCGAUGCUGUGUAUAUCCGUGCUCAAGUCCCUCCCCUUCAGCUCAGCCAGCUCCUCCUCUGUCUGGCUAAGCCACGCCUCCAUAUUCUCCAGAUCAGAGAUCAGCUGUUGCCAUAGCAGCAGGUCUUCGCUGGAGUUAAGGGACUGAGCCUGGAUGAGCUCCCAGCGCUCGAUCACACCUACGGAGCACAAAAAAAAAGGUUUAAAAAUCACGACUCUACACAAUGAUGACAUCACGGAGCGUCCAAUAACGUCCAGUUCCUCUAAUAAUGUCUUUCUGGAACCAACCGACCAACCAGCACGAAGCUCCACCUCAGGACUUCCUGGUUCCCAGAACUUUGGAGCAAGAAAGGUAAAAAAGAUUCGGAAAUAAAACACGCCUGUGUGUGCAGAGUUCCUGACAGAGUUCCUGAAAAGGAAUCCGGUUCCUGUGUGUGUGUGUGUCUGUAACCUGUG
Molecule: long non-coding RNA, 1295 nt
Organism: Hemibagrus wyckioides
Lineage: Eukaryota; Metazoa; Chordata; Actinopteri; Siluriformes; Bagridae
Exons: 3
Source: RefSeq, a predicted model, not a curated record